AUUGAACGCUGGCGGCAUGCCUUACACAUGCAAGUCGAACGGUAACAGAUCUUCGGAUGCUGACGAGUGGCGAACGGGUGAGUAAUAUAUCGGAACGUGCCCAGUCGUGGGGGAUAACGCAGCGAAAGCUGUGCUAAUACCGCAUACGAUCUAUGGAUGAAAGCGGGGGAUCGCAAGACCUCGCGCGAUUGGAGCGGCCGAUAUCAGAUUAGGUAGUUGGUGGGGUAAAGGCCCACCAAGCCAACGAUCUGUAGCUGGUCUGAGAGGACGACCAGCCACACUGGAACUGAGACACGGUCCAGACUCCUACGGGAGGCAGCAGUGGGGAAUUUUGGACAAUGGGCGCAAGCCUGAUCCAGCAAUGCCGCGUGCAGGAUGAAGGCCUUCGGGUUGUAACUGCUUUUGUACGGAACGAAAAGGCUCUGGUUAAUACCUGGGGCUCAUGACGGUACCGUAAGAAUAAGCACCGGCUAACUACGUG
Molecule: ribosomal RNA, 481 nt
Filed under: uncultured bacterium
Lineage: Bacteria
Description: bacterial SSU rRNA
Rfam family: Bacterial small subunit ribosomal RNA
Source: RNAcentral